UACGUAGGGGGCAAGCGUUGUCCGGAAUCAUUGGACGUAAAGAGCGCGUAGGCGGUCCGGUAAGUCCGCUCUGAAAGUCCGGGGCUCAACCCCGGGAGGCGGGCGGAUACUGUCGGGCUAGAGUCCGGAAGAGGCGAGUGGAAUUCCUGGUGUAGCGGUGAAAUGCGCAGAUAUCAGGAGGAACACCAAUGGCGAAGGCAGCUCGCUGGGACGGUACUGACGCUGAGGCGCGAAAGCGUGGGGAGCAAACAGG
RNAcentral lists this ribosomal RNA (253 nucleotides) under uncultured bacterium. RNAcentral's name for it is "partial 16S ribosomal RNA". It matches the Rfam family "Bacterial small subunit ribosomal RNA", at positions 524 to 776 of the family's 1533-position model. The record is from RNAcentral.